AGCUUGGUGGUGCAGUGGGUAGCACUGGUGCCUCACAGCUCCAGGGUUCCUGGUUCAAUCCUGAGCCUGAGUUA
Molecule: non-coding RNA, 74 nt
Organism: Pangasianodon gigas (Mekong giant catfish)
Lineage: Eukaryota; Metazoa; Chordata; Actinopteri; Siluriformes; Pangasiidae
Source: the annotation of a GenBank genome assembly